Molecule: long non-coding RNA, 856 nt
Filed under: Pan troglodytes (chimpanzee)
Lineage: Eukaryota; Metazoa; Chordata; Mammalia; Primates; Hominidae
Description: long non-coding RNA NONPTRT001103
Source: RNAcentral
CUAGGAAAUCAGUUGCCAGAUGCAAAUGUCCCAGUAUGAGAUAAGGGUGGGAGGUAGCUGUGGAAUGAGGGAGAAACAAUAUCAGUAUUUACCAGAAAGUAAGAUGGCUAAAUAAAUAAUGAGGUAUUCAUUCCAUGGGCAUGCAGUCAUUGAAAGGAGUGAGGUAGAUCUGAAUGUUUUAUUAUGGAACCAUCUCCAAGACAUAUUAUGAUUUUAAAAAAAAGCUUGAAGUAGAAAAUUACAUAUAGUUUGAUAUCCUAAGUGUUAAAGGAUCUACACAGCAAUAGUGUACUUUUUAAAAUAGUUUUACCUGAGCAUAAAUGAAUAGAAACAAGUGCUGGACACACGCAGUGCUAACAGGGGUUAAUCCUGUGGAGGGGGCAGGGAACUGGAACCAGAUGUGGCUAAUGGGGCAUUUUUACUUUUAUCAGUAAUACUUCAAUUUCUUAUAAAGGAAUGCAUUUCUUUACUACAUGUGUAACUAAAAACUAUUUCAAAAGAGAAAGAGUGCUCGUGAGAUAAUGAGUGUGAAACUACUCUGAAAAACAGAAAAUGCUGGGUAGAUGUGAACUUUUACUAUUCACUCUGCCCAGGUCACACCACAUCUAUCACAGCCAUUUCCACCUCAGGCAAGGCAGGCAAAGCAACUCAUUCCCUCCUCCCUCUGUUCCCUUCACGACUAGCUUCAAGAACUCUGUGGAAGGGGGGUUGGGCUUCCACUGGUUCCCUCCCUGUGCACAUAACCAAACAGUGAAUGUGAUGGCCUUAAGGCGGAGCCUACAUCAGGCCCUAGGUAAAAGCCUGUUGAUUAAACCCUCUAUUGGUUAUGGGCCUCCAAGUACAACAUGUAAACCUC